AUUGAACGCUGGCGGCAUGCCUUACACAUGCAAGUCGAACGGUAACAGGUUAAGCUGACGAGUGGCGAACGGGUGAGUAAUAUAUCGGAACGUGCCCAGUCGUGGGGGAUAACUGCUCGAAAGAGCAGCUAAUACCGCAUACGACCUGAGGGUGAAAGCGGGGGAUCGCAAGACCUCGCGCGACUGGAGCGGCCGAUAUCCGAUUAGGUAGUUGGUGGGGUAAGAGCCCACCAAGCCGACGAUCUGUAGCUGGUCUGAGAGGACGACCAGCCCGACUGGGACUGAGACACGGCCCAGACUCCUACGGGAGGCAGCAGUGGGGAAUUUUGGACAAUGGGCGCAAGCCGGAUCCAGCCAUGCCGGGUGCGGGAAGAAGGCCUGCGGGUUGUAAACCGCUUUUGUCAGGGAAGAAAAGGUUCUGGUUAAUACCUGGGACUCAUGACGGUACCUGAAGAAUAAGCACCGGCUAACUACGUGCCAGCAGCCGCCGUAA
Molecule: ribosomal RNA, 493 nt
Filed under: uncultured bacterium
Lineage: Bacteria
Description: partial 16S ribosomal RNA
Rfam family: Bacterial small subunit ribosomal RNA
Source: RNAcentral